Molecule: ribosomal RNA, 253 nt
Filed under: uncultured bacterium
Lineage: Bacteria
Description: partial 16S ribosomal RNA
Rfam family: Bacterial small subunit ribosomal RNA
Source: RNAcentral
UACGUAGGGUGCAAGCGUUAAUCGGAAUUACUGGGCGUAAAGCGUGCGCAGGCGGUGAUGUAAGACAGGUGUGAAAUCCCCGGGCUUAACCUGGGAACUGCAUUUGUGACUGCAUCGCUGGAGUGCGGCAGAGGGGGAUGGAAUUCCGCGUGUAGCAGUGAAAUGCGUAGAUAUGCGGAGGAACACCGAUGGCGAAGGCAAUCCCCUGGGCCUGCACUGACGCUCAUGCACGAAAGCGUGGGGAGUAAACAGG